Long non-coding RNA from Cervus elaphus (red deer), 389 nucleotides. RefSeq lists it as uncharacterized. The record is from RefSeq and is a predicted model, not a curated record. The transcript has 3 exons. Lineage: Eukaryota; Metazoa; Chordata; Mammalia; Artiodactyla; Cervidae.
UGAACCCCAGCUUCAGCUCUGCGAGGCAGAUUGCAUCAUCCCCCUCUUUCCAAUUCCAGCUCGGGAUGUUUAGCAGAUGGGCCUGCAGAAACAAAAACAGAUCUGCCUGUUCCCACUGGAUAAUGCUGCUUCCGAACACAAGGCACUGACAGAAGAGAAGAUCAAAGAAAAGAUCAGCUACACCCUCUGGGGAUGAAGACAGAACAGAGGGAGAAGGAGUCCAAGCGAAGAAGCGGUUCUUAAUUCUGCCUGGUAGAGGGGAGGGUCGGGGGACCUCAGAGACCCAGAGUGAACAUUAAAGGCAAAGUGUGCAUUUUCAUAAAGGAAGAAGAGAAAAGAGAAAAAACCAGGGUAAAAGUAGUGAUAAAAGAUGACGGAGAUGGAGCCAG